RNAcentral lists this ribosomal RNA (711 nucleotides) under uncultured bacterium. RNAcentral describes it as "bacterial SSU rRNA". It matches the Rfam family "Bacterial small subunit ribosomal RNA", at positions 563 to 1271 of the family's 1533-position model. The record is from RNAcentral.
AAGCGCGCGUAGGCCGUUGAGUUAGUUAAUUGUGAAAUCCCAAAGCUUAACUUUGGAACUGCAAUUAAAACUGCUCGACUAGAGUUUGAUAGAGGAAAGCGGAAUACAUAGUGUAGAGGUGAAAUUCGUAGAUAUUAUGUAGAACACCAGUUGCGAAGGCGGCUUUCUGGAUCAACACUGACGCUGAGGCGCGAAAGUAUGGGUAGCAAAGAGGAUUAGAUACCCUCGUAGUCCAUACCAUAAACGAUGAUUGCUAGAUGUUGGAAAUUUAUUUUCAGUAUCGCAGCUAACGCAUUAAGCAAUCCGCCUGGGGAGUACGACCGCAAGGUUAAAACUCAAAUGAAUUGACGGGGACCCGCACAAGCGGUGGAGCAUGUGGUUUAAUUCGAAGAUACGCGCAGAACCUUACCAACCCUUGACAUGUCUGUCGCGAGUUUAGGAAACUAGACUUUUCGGUUCGGCCGGACAGAACACAGGUGCUGCAUGGCUGUCGUCAGCUCGUGUCGUGAGAUGUUGGGUUAAGUCCCGCAACGAGCGCAACCCCUACUUUUAGUUGCCAUCAGGUCAUGCUGGGCACUCUGAAAGAACUGCCAGUGAUAAGCUGGAGGAAGGUGGGGAUGACGUCAAGUCCUCAUGGCCCUUACGGGUUGGGCUACACACGUGCUACAAUGGUAGUGACAAAUGAGAUGCAAAGUGGCGACGCUAAGCUAA